Molecule: ribosomal RNA, 459 nt
Filed under: uncultured bacterium
Lineage: Bacteria
Description: partial 16S ribosomal RNA
Rfam family: Bacterial small subunit ribosomal RNA
Source: RNAcentral
CCUACGGGUGGCAGCAGUGAGGAAUAUUGGUCAAUGGCCGGAAGGCUGAACCAGCCAAGCCGCGUGAAGGACGAAGGUGCCAAGCAUUGUAAACUUCUUUUGUCACGGACCAAAAUCAGGCUCGAGAGCCUGACCGAGGGUACUUGAAGAAAAAGCAUCGGCUAACUCCGUGACAGCCGCCGCGGUAAUACGGGGGAUGCGAACGUUAUCCGGAUUUAUUGGGGUUAAAGGGUUCGUAGGCGGACUUUUAAGUCAGCGGUAAAAACCCGGGGCUCAACCCCGGCGAGCCGUUGAGACUGGUGGUCUGGAGAGGGCGAGAGGUAUGCGGAAUGCGCAGUGUAGCGGUGAAAUGCUUAGAUAUUGCGCAGAACUCCGAUUGCGAAGGCAGCAUACCGGCGGCGAUCUGACGCUGAGGCACGAAAGCGUGGGUAUCGAACAGGAUUAGAUACCCCAGUAGUC